This 484-nucleotide ribosomal RNA is filed under the name uncultured bacterium. RNAcentral's name for it is "partial 16S ribosomal RNA". It matches the Rfam family "Bacterial small subunit ribosomal RNA", at positions 28 to 523 of the family's 1533-position model. The record is from RNAcentral.
GAUGAACGCUGGCGGCGUGCUUAACACAUGCAAGUCGAACGGUGACGCAGGAGCUUGCUCUUGUGGAUCAGUGGCGAACGGGUGAGUAACACGUGAGCAGCCUGCCCCUGACUCUGGGAUAAGCGCUGGAAACGGCGUCUAAUACUGGAUAUGUGAUGUGACCGCAUGGUCUGCAUCUGGAAAGAAUUUCGGUUGGGGAUGGGCUCGCGGCCUAUCAGCUUGUUGGUGAGGUAAUGGCUCACCAAGGCGUCGACGGGUAGCCGGCCUGAGAGGGUGACCGGCCACACUGGGACUGAGACACGGCCCAGACUCCUACGGGAGGCAGCAGUGGGGAAUAUUGCACAAUGGGCGGAAGCCUGAUGCAGCAACGCCGCGUGAGGGAUGACGGCCUUCGGGUUGUAAACCUCUUUUAGCAGGGAAGAAGCGAAAGUGACGGUACCUGCAGAAAAAGCACCGGCUAACUACGUGCCAGCAGCCGCCGUAA